CUACGGGCCGCAGCAGUGAGGAAUAUUGCACAAUGGGGGGAACCCUGAUGCAGCAACGCCGCGUGGAGGAUGACGCAUUUCGGUGUGUAAACUCCUUUUAUAUGUCAAGAAAAUGACGGUAGCAUAUGAAUAAGCACCGGCUAACUCCGUGCCAGCAGCCGUGGUAAUUCGGAGAGUGCAAGCGUUACUCGGAAUCACUGGGCGUAAAGGACGCGUAGGCGGGUUGGAAAGUCAGGUGUGAAAUCCUACAGCUUAACUGUAGAACUGCACUUGAAACUUCUAAUCUAGAGUAUGGGAGGGGGAGAUGGAAUUAGUGGUGUAGGGGUAAAAUCCGUAGAUAUCACUAGGAAUACCUAAAGCGAAGGCGAUCUCCUGGAACAUUACUGACGCUAAGGCGUGAAAGCGUGGGGAGCAAACAGGAUUAGAUACCCUCGUAGUC
Molecule: ribosomal RNA, 439 nt
Filed under: uncultured bacterium
Lineage: Bacteria
Description: partial 16S ribosomal RNA
Rfam family: Bacterial small subunit ribosomal RNA
Source: RNAcentral